RNAcentral lists this ribosomal RNA (452 nucleotides) under Morerella cyanophthalma. RNAcentral describes it as "partial 16S ribosomal RNA". It matches the Rfam family "Bacterial large subunit ribosomal RNA", at positions 1971 to 2590 of the family's 2925-position model. The record is from RNAcentral. Lineage: Eukaryota; Metazoa; Chordata; Amphibia; Anura; Hyperoliidae.
GUCCUCUAAAUAAGGACUAGUGUGAACGGCAUCACGAGGGCUUAACUGUCUCCCCCCUUUAAUCAAUGAAACUGAUCUUCUCGUGAAGAAGCGAGAAUGAAAAUAUAAGACGAGAAGACCCCAUGGAGCUUUAAACUCAUCACCACCUACUUUAAAUAAAUCAAUAUAUACAGUAGAAAUGUUAACGAUAGUUUUCGGCUGGGGUGGCCCUGGAGUAAAACACAUCCUCCAGAAUGAAUAUAAUAAUAUUAUUAAUCUAAGAGCCACAACUCAAAGAAUCAAAACCUUGACACCAUUGAUCCAUUAUUUGAUCAACGAACCAAGUUACCCUGGGGAUAACAGCGCAAUCCAUUUCAAGAGCCCCUAUCGACAAAUGGGUUUACGACCUCGAUGUUGGAUCGGGAUAUCCUAGUGACGCAGCCGUUACUAAAGGUUCGUUUGUUCAACGAUUA